GGAGGAGUGGCCGAGCGGUUUAAGGCACCGGUCUUGAAAACCGGGGUGCGUGAAAGCGUACCGUGGGUUCGAAUCCCACCUCCUCCGCCA
RNAcentral lists this transfer RNA (90 nucleotides) under Sinorhizobium sp. 8-89. Its description in RNAcentral is "tRNA-Ser". It matches the Rfam family "tRNA". From Rfam's summary of the family: Transfer RNA (tRNA) molecules are approximately 80 nucleotides in length. The record is from RNAcentral. Lineage: Bacteria; Pseudomonadati; Pseudomonadota; Alphaproteobacteria; Hyphomicrobiales; Rhizobiaceae.